UUACAUGAGGAUCCAAGCAAAGAUUUUGCAUUUAUUGUGUAUGUACACCCUGCAAAUAAUCACUACUGCAUAAAACUUAUUAUAAGGCAUGCAAAAAGGGUUUACAGAGGCCGGCAACCCGUCCAGCUCGAGAUUAGUUGCCUGUCCCGGUUAAUGAAAAUAAAAAAAAUUAAAAACUUGAAUCCAGACUGGGCUUGGAUCUGGACUUCACGGCACCGCCGCCACCCCUGCACAACGCCGCCGCGGCCACACGAGCCCUCCCCGUCGAAUGUGGCUCCUCCUCGCCAGAUCCGGUGUCCUCCUCGCCGGAUACGCCAAUGUUGGAGGUGCUCUGCCUUUGUGAGCUCCCUUUGCUCCUCGCCGUCGGAUCUAGACACCUUGCACGCCCCACCGUCGGAGGAGAGGGAGGAAGGAGAGGGAACG
This 423-nucleotide long non-coding RNA is filed under the name Sorghum bicolor (sorghum). RNAcentral's name for it is "long non-coding RNA (SBIC_LNC000101)". The record is from RNAcentral. Lineage: Eukaryota; Viridiplantae; Streptophyta; Magnoliopsida; Poales; Poaceae.